UGAGGAAUAUUGGUCAAUGGGGGCAACCCUGAACCAGCCAAGUCGCGUGAAGGAUGAAGGUCUUAUGGAUUGUAAACUUCUUUUACACGGGAAUAAAGCGGGGGACGUGUCCCUCUUUGCAUGUACCGUGUGAAUAAGGAUCGGCUAACUCCGUGCCAGCAGCCGCGGUAAUACGGAGGAUCCGAGCGUUAUCCGGAUUUAUUGGGUUUAAAGGGUGCGCAGGCGGGAUGUUAAGUCGGCGGUGAAAUUUUGCAGCUCAACUGUAAAAGUGCCUUCGAUACUGGCCUUCUUGAGUGUGGAUGAAGUAGGCGGAAUUUGUGGUGUAGCGGUGAAAUGCUUAGAUAUCACGAAGAACUCCGAUUGCGAAGGCAGCUUACCGGGGUACAACUGACGCUGAUGCACGAAAGUGUGGGUAUCAAACA
This 422-nucleotide ribosomal RNA is filed under the name uncultured bacterium. RNAcentral's name for it is "bacterial SSU rRNA". It matches the Rfam family "Bacterial small subunit ribosomal RNA", at positions 355 to 774 of the family's 1533-position model. The record is from RNAcentral.